Molecule: ribosomal RNA, 2385 nt
Filed under: Paranthura nigropunctata
Lineage: Eukaryota; Metazoa; Arthropoda; Malacostraca; Isopoda; Paranthuridae
Description: SSU rRNA
Rfam family: Eukaryotic small subunit ribosomal RNA
Source: RNAcentral
UACCUGGUUGAUCCUGCCAGUAGUCAUAUGCUUGUCUCAAAGAUUAAGCCAUGCAUGUCUCAGUACUGGCCUACCUAAGGCGAAACCGCGAAUGGCUCAUUAAAUCAGUCAUGAUUCAUUGGAUGUUGUAACAGCCUUACUUGGAUAACUGUGGUAAUUCUAGAGCUAAUACAUGCAACUAAGCUCCGACCCUGCCGUCAAAGGCGGGGGAAGGGCGCUUUUAUUAGAUCAAAAACCGAUCGGACUUCGGUCCGUCUCUCAAAAAGAGUUGUGAUGACUCUGAAUAACUUAGCCGAGCGCUGCGGUCUGCGUACCGGCGCCGUAUCCUUCAAGUGUCUGCCUUAUCAGCUCUCGAUUGUAGGUUAUACGCCUACAAUGGCUGUAACGGGUAACGGGGAAUCAGGGUUCGAUUCCGGAGAGGGAGCCUGAGAAACGGCUACCACAUCUAAGGAAGGCAGCAGGCACGCAAAUUACCCACUCCCGGUUCGGGGAGGUAGUGACGAAAAAUAACGAUGCGGGACUCUUCCGAGGCCUCGCAAUCGGAAUGAGUCCAAUUUAAAUCCUUGGACGAGGAUCCAUUGGAGGGCAAGUCUGGUGCCAGCAGCCGCGGUAAUUCCAGCUCCAAUAGCGUAUAUUAAAGCUGCUGCGGUUAAAAAGCUCGUAGUUGGAUGUCUGAUCCGGACCGGCGGCCCAUCCAAGGCGAGCCCUCGUCAUUCGCGGGCGGUCCCUUCGCUUCUCCCGUCUCCGUGCGUCGCGCCCAGCGAGACGGCGUCCUUCGCGCGAGCGGCCGGUUAGCGUUCGGAGUUUCGGCGUAGGGGGUCAAAGGUUGUUCCGCUCGCGGUUCGCCUCCCCUUCGCCGCUUCGGCUAAAAGCGCUUCCGGGUCAAACCGUCUCGCCGGAGGUCAGCGCCGUUCCCGAGGGUGUCGCGGCCCGGGGGUUCAAAGCGGGUUUUGUCGACUCGGGUCCGCCCCGGGCGGGUAAGCUCGCCCGGUGGUUUCCCGCCCGGCUCCGGAUUGAAAAAAAGCCGUCGGUUCUCACGGGGUGCUCUUUACCGAGUGUCCCGCGUGGCCGACACGUUCACUUUGAAAAAAUUAGAGUGCUCAGAGCAGGCAAUAAAGUACGCCUGAAUGGUGGUGCAUGGAAUGAUGGAACAGGACCUCGGUUCUGUCCUUUUGAUCGGUUUUCGGAACCCGAGGUAAUGAUUAACAGGAACAGACGGGGGCAUUAGUAUUGCGACGCUAGAGGUGAAAUUCUUGGACCGUCGCAAGACUAACCACUGCGAAAGCAUUUGCCAAGAAUGUUUUCACUAAUCAAGAACGAAAGUUAGAGGAUCGAAGGCGAUCAGAUACCGCCCUAGUUCUAACCAUAAACGAUGCUAACUGGCGAUCCGCCGGCGUCAUUCCCACGACUCGGCGGGGAGCCCACCGGAAAACCAAAGUCUUUGAGUUCCGGGGGAAGUAUGGUUGCAAAGCUGAAACUUAAAGGAAUUGACGGAAGGGCACCACCAGGAGUGGAGCCUGCGGCUUAAUUUGACUCAACACGGGAAACCUCACCAGGCCCGGACACCGGAAGGAUUGACAGAUUGAGAGCUCUUUCUCGAUUCGGUGGUUGGUGGUGCAUGGCCGUUCUUAGUUGGUGGAGCGAUCUGUCUGGUUGAUUCCGAUAACGAACGAGACUCUACCCUGCUAACUAGUCGGCGGAUCGUCUCCCAGGACGGGUCCUUCCCGGUGGUUUUCGACCCUCGUCCGUCGCUUCCGUUUCCGGCGGCGCGGCGCGGUCGCGGCGUUCUCGCGCGGCUCCUCCGGGGGUUUAGCGCGGGGCGUCGCGUCGCGUCGUCGUUUGUCGGGGCGGGUCAAGGGCGGCGGCGUGUUUCGGUCGGGCCUCCGCGCGUCGGGCCCAGCACGGGGCGUCCGUCGCAACGUCUUCUUAGAGGGAUCGGCGGCGUCCAGCCCACGAGAUAGAGCAAUAACAGGUCUGUGAUGCCCUUAGAUGUUCUGGGCCGCACGCGCGCUACAAUGAAGGGCUCAGCGUGCGUUCCCCCUCCGAAAGGAGCGGGUAACCCAAUGAAACCCCUUCCCGAUUGGGAUUGGGGAUUGCAAGUGUUUCCCAUGAACGAGGAAUUCCCAGUAAGCGCAAGUCAUCAGCUUGCGUUGAUUACGUCCCUGCCCUUUGUACACACCGCCCGUCGCUACUACCGAUUGAAUGAUUCAGUGAGGACAUCGGACUGGCGCCCUCGGUAGCCUGCGUUCCGCGUUCAAACCCCGUUUCGGCGGGGGCGCGUUCGCGGGCACCCCGGGCUGACGGAAAGAUGUCCGAACUUGAUCAUUUAGAGGAAGUAAAAGUCGUAACAAGGUUUCCGUAGGUGAACCUGCGGAAGGAUCAUUA